ACCAUCAUGCUUUUUAGAGGCCUCUGCUCUGCCAGCCUGGGAGUCAUCUUCACCCUCAGGCUGGUAGACUCCAGUCUCUUAGGUCAGAAUGGGAUUAGAGACCCGUUCCUGAACCAGUCACACACAGCGGGUGAAACUGCUAUGAUUGGUUUAGACUUAGAGACUGGAAUGGAUGCUGAUCCUUAGAAUAUACACAAAGUUUUCAUGGACCACACAUUAUGAAACACUGGAUUAGCGCAAAGUGAAAUGCUUCCAGAGUAGGAGCCACUAUUCUGAGGAAUCUUGGAAGAAAAAAAAACAUCGCCCAUUUCAUCUGUUUCUUCAGUCCCCAGAUAGCAGAUGACUGGUAGGAAGAUGAGGCAAGUUUGCGGUCCAUUGUCAUGGAUAGUGGAGACAACACUGGGCCAGAAGUGGUAAGACCUGAAUCCAAGACUCAGCUCUGCCACUUGCUAAAUGGGACUUUGAAUAAACCAUUUCUCUGCACUUAAGUUCCUUACCAACAAAACGAGGGAAGUGGCCUACAUGCCUAGAUAUCAACAUUUCAUGUCACGUAGAGAUCUAGCAUCACAAGAAUCCAAGUCAUCCUCUGUUGCCUUUAAGAAAUUAGAAUUAAAGGAAUCAGAAUUGAAGUGAAUCUGACUACACUAAGCCUAUCACUUGUGACAGCCAUGGGAAGAUAUCAUUGGUUGCUGAGGAGCAGAAAUAAGCAGAGACCUAUUGUGUUAGGUUAUCAUUCAUUUCAGACAAAAAGCAGAUCAGCAAGUUUUCAUAUUGCACUAUUUUCAAUGGCUGGAGCAUCAACAUUUUACAACAAGAAAAAAAUUAAAAUUCUUCAACAUUUGGAAAAGAAGUGUUUGUAAAACUUUUCACAUCCAUUCACCAUCCGGAAAAGCAAGGUUUUACAGUGAGGCCUGAUGAUGUCUAGAGUCACCAUGCAUCUUGGAAAAUGACCUCCUAUUUAUUUCUUCUACAGGACACCAUGGUGUUCACCUUUCUACAACUUUACACUUGCUGAGGACAUAUUGUGGAAAAUUAAGAGAAAUAUAUAUGGAUGGCCAAGGC
This 1062-nucleotide long non-coding RNA is filed under the name Homo sapiens (human). RNAcentral's name for it is "long intergenic non-protein coding RNA 2207". Lineage: Eukaryota; Metazoa; Chordata; Mammalia; Primates; Hominidae. The record is from RNAcentral.